Molecule: ribosomal RNA, 484 nt
Filed under: uncultured bacterium
Lineage: Bacteria
Description: partial 16S ribosomal RNA
Rfam family: Bacterial small subunit ribosomal RNA
Source: RNAcentral
AUUGAACGCUGGCGGCAGGCCUAACACAUGCAAGUCGAGCGGAUGAAGGGAGCUUGCUCCUGGAUUCAGCGGCGGACGGGUGAGUAAUGCCUAGGAAUCUGCCUGGUAGUGGGGGAUAACGUCCGGAAACGGGCGCUAAUACCGCAUACGUCCUGAGGGAGAAAGUGGGGGAUCUUCGGACCUCACGCUAUCAGAUGAGCCUAGGUCGGAUUAGCUAGUUGGUGGGGUAAGGGCCUACCAAGGCGACGAUCCGUAACUGGUCUGAGAGGAUGAUCAGUCACACUGGAACUGAGACACGGUCCAGACUCCUACGGGAGGCAGCAGUGGGGAAUAUUGGACAAUGGGCGAAAGCUUGAUCCAGCCAUGCCGCGUGUGUGAAGAAGGUCUUCGGAUUGUAAAGCACUUUAAGUUGGGAGGAAGGGCAGUAAGUUAAUACCUUGCUGUUUUGACGUUACCAACAGAAUAAGCACCGGCUAACUUCGUG